AAAGGGGCUUCGGUCCUGAGUAGAGUGGCGAACGGGUGAGUAACACGUGGGUGAUCUACCUUCGAGUGGGGGAUAACGUUCCGAAAGGAACGCUAAUACCGCAUGACGUUCUGGGUUUAAAGACCUGGAAACCAAAGCCGGGGACCGCAAGGCCUGGCGCUUGGAGAGGAGCCCGCGUCCGAUUAGCUAGUUGGCGGGGUAAUGGCCCACCAAGGCGACGAUCGGUAGCCGGCCUGAGAGGGCGGACGGCCACACUGGAACUGAGACACGGUCCAGACUCCUACGGGAGGCAGCAGUGGGGAAUUGUUCACAAUGGGCGCAAGCCUGAUGACGCAACGCCGCGUGGGGGAUGAAGGUCUUCGGAUCGUAAACCCCUGUCGAAUGGGACGAAAGACCCGGGAGCUAAUCAUUCCGGGAGUGACGGUACCGUUAAAGGAAGCCACGGCUAACUCUGUGCCAGCAGCCGCGGUAAUACAGAGGUGGCAAGCGUUGUUCGGAAUUACUGGGCGUAAAGGGCGCGUAGGCGGCCUUCUAAGUCAGACGUGAAAUCCCCCGGCUUAACCUGGGAACUGCGUCUGAUACUGGGAGGCUUGAGUAUGGGAGAGGGAUGUAGAAUUCCAGGUGUAGCGGUGAAAUGCGUAGAUAUCUGGAGGAAUACCGGUGGCGAAGGCGGCAUCCUGGACCAUAACUGACGCUGAGGCGCGAAAGCUAGGGGAGCAAACGGGAUUAGAUACCCCGGUAGUCCUAGCCCUAAACGAUGAAUACUUGGUGUGGCGGGUAUCGAUCCCUGCCGUGCCGAAGCUAACGCAUUAAGUAUU
This 818-nucleotide ribosomal RNA is filed under the name uncultured Acidobacteriota bacterium. Its description in RNAcentral is "bacterial SSU rRNA". It matches the Rfam family "Bacterial small subunit ribosomal RNA", at positions 71 to 868 of the family's 1533-position model. Lineage: Bacteria; Pseudomonadati; Acidobacteriota. The record is from RNAcentral.